This 64-nucleotide transfer RNA is filed under the name Paragavialidium hainanense. RNAcentral's name for it is "tRNA-Tyr". Lineage: Eukaryota; Metazoa; Arthropoda; Insecta; Orthoptera; Tetrigidae. The record is from RNAcentral. RNAcentral also lists the same sequence under 1 other name.
GAUAGAGUGACUGAAACUAGGUGAUUGAUUGUAAAUCAUUUUAUGGGAUUGUACCCCUCUAUUA